GGGGGAGGGGGGGUUCUCCAGCGGCCAGAAGCUCACUGGCUCUACCCGGGACCCUGAGCUGCCUAGGGCUGGGGGAGGCGUCCGAGCAGUCGCGGAGCCUGCCAGACCCUCGGCUAGAAUGGGGACCCGCUGUCCAGCCGAGGCUGGCGGAGGCGCACCGGGGGCGCAGAGGGCGAUGCUAGUAGUCUGGACCCAAAGGACUGCAGGAAGGAGACCGUGAGGAAGCGUCUGUGCCUGGGAAGCCCCAGCUCCUGCUUGGGCCAGGCAGCCAGCACCUACCUGAUCCCGGGGAACCGGAGUCCGGCGGCGGCAGGUGAGCUGUAGACGCUGCUGUGCAUGAUUAUCCCAUAGACCAGCAGGGCCAGCCUCGCUCCGCUACACAUGGUCAUUCUGCGCAGGAUGGGAAAGAGGACACACAGCUGUGAGAACGCCCCUGGCCUCCCACCCUCCAACCCCAAAAAGCUCUGGAAGCCGGGGGAGGGACGGAGCGAAGCCCCGGCUCCCUGAGUUGAACAGCACUUGGCGACAGCCGGUGCGCGCCCUGCCACUUCUUGCUUGCUAUAGUUAGAAAAAAAUAUAUAUAUAUGCAUCUACCCGGCGCCCAAUAACUAGCCAGACCCGGCUGAAGGAAAGCUAACUCCCCUGACGCGAUGCCAAGCGAAAGAAUCAGCAGUCGAGUGAGCCGGUCGCUUUGUCACGUAAUGAUCGGGUAUCAGAAAAAGACGUCAGCAUCCUAGUCCCUCAAGGAACAUAUUAACUAUUCUGUGCUGUCCUCUUGGAUGAUAAGAUCCGGAGUCAUCGACUUCUCAUAAACACCUUUCACUCAUACAAUCCAAUUUUUAAGAAGUCCAAUUGUUUUGAUGGUUUUCAAUUUCACCCGUUUCUCAAGGACAGGUAAAGAAUUUUUAGAAUUUUGAGGAUGACAAAAGUUAUGUUUUUAACUAUAUAAUUACGAUUUCUCUUUACUUUUUCAUCAAGCCUCACCAAUCAGAGCUCUGGUCUCUGGAAUUAAGCAUCAUCAAGCUCUCCUAUUAAUAAAUUUAAUUUAGAUCUCCUAAUUUCUUGCGUAUGUUCUUUCAGAUAGACCAUUAAAUGUGGAAGUCGUUUUGUUUUUAAAGGGAAGUCUUGGAGGAUUUUCAGUAAAUCUCUCCUGAGUCUGGCUGCCGUUGACAGUAGGGCUAUGAGUAGAUUGAUGAGAGCUCAUGCUGCCUCCGGAGCGCGGCCUGCGGAGCUGUCCAGACUCCGGGUGCUGAAGUGUAGGGUAACAGAUGCUACAAACGUUGAAAAUUGCCACCGGUUUAAUUUUUCACCAGAGCCUCUAAAUUUGAAGAUUUGGCAGUAGUGCUAUUAACGUGGCGAUUCAUCGCCUAAAUCACCCCCACCGUUCAGAUACAUCCUUUCCCUCUUGUAGCGUCCAUAAAUGCCCUAAUGCUGAGAAUGCUCCCCAUCCCUGCCUGGAUUUGAGGAAAAAGCAUUCUGUCCCCCGUUAGUCCUGGCUUUUGGAUUUCUAGACCGGCUGUUUGGCUACUUUCACACCUUCUGUGGCUCUUACAGAUUUUAAAAAUUGAUGUUGUGAAAUUGUGUUUUCCACAAGAAGUGAAAUUUUAAGAAUUUGGGGGCGAGAAAUAUGUUUUUCCACUUUGUUUACAACUUCAGCUCUGUUUGGGAGACACAGACAGACUGGGAAAGCAUGAGGGUUCCCAGUACAAGUUCACCUGAUGAAGGUUUCUAACAGGAAUCCCUCUGCUGGAAACAGUUAAUUUUUUUAACUGAAAAUGAUGUGGGAAGAGGAAAGCAAUAAGGGAAGACCAUAUCCACCCAGAGGCUUCCAAUUUCCUGGGUAAUUGAAGAAGGUUCAUAUAUUUCUACUCCAGUAAGAGAACUCAGGUCUAUUUCUUUAAAAAAAAAAAAAAGAAGAAGAAGAAAGAAAGAAAGAAAAUAGAGCCAUCAAUAACCAUUAGAGUGCAUUUUAAUUAUUUGGAUCUUACACAAAAAUUAGGGGAAAUUCCAGUUUAGUGGGAGGGUUUCCUGUUACUACGAUUUGGAUCUCACAUUUAAAUAAGCUAUAUUAGUUCUGCAUGCUUUUUCCAAGAUAUUAUAUUUCUCCUUCUAAAUGCUGUUCCUGCUCUUAUUUGAGAUUUAAUACUUCCUCCUUCUUAAAAAAAAAAACUAAGUUUUGUUUAUUCCUGGCCAUGAAUGACCGAAAACUGUCUGCUUCCUCUUAGUUUAUUCCUGGCCGUGCUUCAGAUUGUCUGCCUUCAAUAAAGCUUCAAACCACA
This is a long non-coding RNA of Homo sapiens (human), 2279 nucleotides long. The record is from Ensembl. NCBI's taxonomy places the organism in Eukaryota, Metazoa, Chordata, Mammalia, Primates, Hominidae.